RNAcentral lists this unclassified non-coding RNA (324 nucleotides) under uncultured Onygenales. RNAcentral describes it as "sequence contains ITS1". The stretch from base 1 to 105 matches the Rfam family "5.8S ribosomal RNA", at positions 50 to 154 of the family's 154-position model. The record is from RNAcentral. Lineage: Eukaryota; Fungi; Ascomycota; Eurotiomycetes; Onygenales.
GAAAUGCGAUAAGUAAUGUGAAUUGCAGAAUUCCGUGAAUCAUCGAAUCUUUGAACGCACAUUGCGCCCUCUGGUAUUCCGGGGGGCAUGCCUGUCCGAGCGUCAUUGCAAACCCUCAAGCCCGGCUUGUCUGAUGGGUUCCGCGUCCGCCUCUUAGGGGGCGGACGAGCCCGAAACGCAGUGGCGGCGUCGCGGUAAUCCGAUCAGCCAGAGCGUAUGGGGACAUCUCGUCACACGCUUUAGGCGCGGACCGGCGCCCGCCGAGACCAAAUCUCACACUCAAGGUUUGACCUCGGAUCAGGUAGGGAUACCCGCUGAACUUAA